This is a non-coding RNA of Cinara cedri, 283 nucleotides long. Lineage: Eukaryota; Metazoa; Arthropoda; Insecta; Hemiptera; Aphididae. The record is from the annotation of a GenBank genome assembly.
GGAUAAAAUAAUCGUGUCAUUUUUCGGAGGUACUAUUAAGUACAUUACAAUUUAUGUGUAUAAUACUUGAUUCCUAGAAAUGCUUUUCAAUUUAAGAUUAUCAAAAUAUCUUUAACCGAACCUAAUCCAAAAUUUUAUUUCGUUAGCCAUAAUUUAUCAUUGCGUACAGUUAUAAACAAACAAAUUUACCACAUUAUAUAUCAUACUUUUUAAACUACUCAUCUGCAUCAAUGGUAGGUACACCAAUACUUGUAAGAAAUAAUGCCUCUUAUUUUGUAUACCU